Dromiciops gliroides (monito del monte) is the source of this 81-nucleotide small nucleolar RNA. RefSeq annotates it as small nucleolar RNA SNORD113/SNORD114 family. Lineage: Eukaryota; Metazoa; Chordata; Mammalia; Microbiotheria; Microbiotheriidae. The transcript has a single exon. The record is from RefSeq and is a predicted model, not a curated record.
UUGAUUAUGGAUGCCAGUCGAGGUUGAUGGAUGAUGAUUUAUUGAUGAUGAUGACAAAAUGUAAGGUACUCUGAUGUCUAU